RNAcentral lists this long non-coding RNA (661 nucleotides) under Mus spicilegus (steppe mouse). RNAcentral describes it as "lncRNA (ENSMSIG00000021130.1)". The record is from RNAcentral. Lineage: Eukaryota; Metazoa; Chordata; Mammalia; Rodentia; Muridae.
UCUGACCCUUGUUGUCAGCCCUCAGCACUCCUCCUUGCUGCUGCAGCUGGUGGUCUGGGAACUUGAUAGCAGAGGCAGACCAGCCGGAGGAGGCCUACAGAGCACACAGCUUUGUUCUCAGCCUGAGACUUAAGGAGCUUUGAGAUUUACAUGGAAGCUAUCUCAAACAAUUAAGACUCACCCUUAUCCUUGUAACACAGGGAUGAUUGCCCUGAGAAACUCUUGGGAUAUAGCCCUCACCUAUUUCCGGAAUCUGGCAUCUCAGCACCCUCUGGAAAGCACCGAUCUAAAUAUACCCUGCUGUGAAUCACUCCACUGAUAAAGGCCUUUGCCUUGUUUGUUGACCACUGAUCUUGUGCAGUGCUGCUGAUCUUACUUGGGAAAUGUUGUUUUUUGUUUAGUCUUUAAAGGUAGUAUUCAUCAAAGAGACUGUACUCAAGAAUACCCACGGCUGAAUUAGAGGACAUAGAUGGUUUUUGUUUUUGUUUUUUCUUAUUACAACAAUAAGGGGAGUGUACUAUGUUCCUGGCCCCUCUCACUUAGAGGAACAAGGAUUACACAGAAAUUUGAAGCGGCGACUGGCUUAUGAAGCUUUUCUUCCCUGGUGUUGAAAAUGCCCUGAAACAUGUAUUCUUAAGCCAAUGAAGCAUAUAAACAUGGA